GGUCCGGACAGAGCAAAAAAAACAAGGCAUCAGUAUUGUUGAGUAUUAGCCUGUACCUGGUUCCCAGACUAAGUUUGUCGCAGGAGGCCGGGGCACGUCGGCUGGCGCCGCUUGGCAGCGCACCGCGAGCCGGAGCCGGGACCCAGACAAAGGCGGGAGCUGUCCGCGGUGCUGAACCUGCUGUUCCGCGGUGGAGGCAAAAUGCCUGGGUUACCAGCGCUUUCCUCGUCUACUGCUUCCUUCGCUGCUUCGUUCUCUGCCUCUCGCCUUCCCCAAGUGCUUAUUCCACCCGUUUGCUCCCUCCUUGGCACCUGCCUCCGGUACACAGGUAUACUUAAAUCUCAGAGAACAAAACGAGCCAUCAACACAGUGUCUUCUUUCUUCUCAAAUAAACGCUGUAUGAAAGGUUUCUCUUAACUGUCCUCAAAAACAGAUUCCAAUUUUCAUGCCUAAAGAAGUGGAAAUUCGUGUUUAAAACAGAACUAAGUGGUAACGAAUGCCAUGCACUUGAAUUUUUAAUUUUUUUUCCCUGUAAGACAGGGCAAGGGGAUUGGAAAUUUUAGUUUGGGGAACUUCAUGUCCCUGGCAUCUUGACUUCUUGGGUAGAAAAGUAAUAAGAUGUGGGGAGGAUCUGUUGUCUAACAUGAGGGUGAACAGAAGUGAAGAAAGGUGACUUGUGAGGUUCAAAGUGAGGGACAUUAAGCGAACUUAACCCUUUGAGGCAGAGAAGAGGCCUACAAGGAAAGCAGUCUUCCAGGUUAAGAGGAAAGUGAUUUCUUUUGAAAGUUUGGGUCCAAAACUUGAAUCUGGUACUUCAUUUUCUGCAUGUCCAUGGUGUCCUCGGAUGUCUGAUGUCACAGCCUUCAUUCCUGUGACCCGAUUUUUCUGGGUCGCUUGACUAUGUAAGUUUGUGCAGGGGGGGAAGGAAGCAGCACCACGUACUCCCUCCCCAGAGGCGGGGGCCUCCCGUUCCAUCGAUUCAGGUCUGAGCACAUUCCCUCUGGCAUCUCAGAGCCACUGCCUCCUUCACAGCCUGGAUGCUCUGGGGCCACUGCUUCCUGUGGUCUUCUCGGCACCCUGCAAGUCUUCCCCAGGGCAGGGGUAUCAGCUAAGUCCAGUCUUCAGUGUUGCAGGAGGUCUUGUGAAUUAAGAGUUGUGCAGUCUCUCUGGCUCCCCUGCUGGGGCGAGCUCCUUUGCCCAUGAGGCAGGAAUAACCAGGAUUAUUCUCGAGCCAGAAGGAUUUGUAACAAUGAGGGGCUUCUGACUGUGACCCUUUGGUUCUUCCAGACCCUGAGUGUUACUCCUUCAUUCAAACACCCCCAGAUUUUUAAUUGCAGCCAAAGUGCUUGUGCCUGGACCCUGCACCUUUCACCUUCUCAGGAUGUAAACGCUCAUGGUGCCAGGAGAGAAGAGAAGCUUUGACCUUGGGUGAGUGAAAGAGAAUUGGAGAAGAACGUUGUUUACUGAAUGGUGACCAGGAGGUGCCUUGGAUCCCUUAUCUUCACCACAGCUCUGAGAAGUAGUAAGUAUUUGUGAUGCCCAUUUUACCAUUUUACAGAAAGGGAGCAGAGACUCAGAGACACUCAGGGUGUGGCUGGCGGUGACACAGUGAAGGCCUGUGAUUCUGAACCAGGCCUCAUUGGCGUUCACACGAGGCACAUGAGGGUUACAAAGCUGUUUCUUUAGUCCCUUUGGAUUCCCAAGCCACCAAGACCUGUGGCCUGGACUUGGAAGUUGCUUUUAAGUCAUCACUGUGAAAGAAAGAAUGAUGAAUGCCAAGAACAGAGGGCUCUUCCUUCAUGGGUUGGGUGGGCGUUUUACAGAAUGGAGUAAGUUUGUGUGAACAAUCUCUUAGGCCCACACCAAGGAGUCAUCAUUGAUCCCCCUUCCUCCUGCCUUGCGUCCAAAUCCAACAGCAAUCCCAGGUAGCUCUGCUUCCAAAAUAUAUUCCAGCCCAUCUGCCUCUCAUCUUCUUCUCCAUUAUCGCCCUGGUCCAAGCCACCACCAUCUCAUCUGUUUUAUUGCAGUGGUCUCCUGACCAGACUCCCUGCUUCUUCUAUCUUGCCCUUGUCUGCAAUCUCUUCUCCACACUGUAACUAAAAGUUAUAUUUGAGAAUCAUAAAUCAGAUCUUGUCAUUCUGCCUCCAACCCUCCAACAACUUCUCAUUGCACUUAGAAUCACAGCCAGACUCCUCAUCCUGGUAGGCAGGGCCCUCUGAGGAUGGCUCCUGCCUGCCCCUCCUGUCUGUCUCUGCACCCUGCUGUGCCUCAGGCAGAUCUAGAUCCUCUCACUCUCAACACCUUUGCGGUGGGCUUGUGGUUUGCCCCUCGGCUCUCAGAGCCUCACCAAGUUUGGCUCCCUUUUGUCAUUCAGCUCAAAUAUCAACUCCUCAAAGAAGUCUUUCCUGUCCACCUUAUCUAAAACACUUCACCCUAGUCACUCUCUAUGUAUAUUUUAAAGCCCUUAUCAAUAUCUAGUAUUAUCCUAUUUGUAUGUCUAGGUACCCAUUGUCUGUCUUCCUUAAUAAAAUAUCUGUUACACAAGGGCGGA
Non-coding RNA from Oryctolagus cuniculus (rabbit), 2551 nucleotides. Lineage: Eukaryota; Metazoa; Chordata; Mammalia; Lagomorpha; Leporidae. The record is from RefSeq and is a predicted model, not a curated record.